AGCUCCAAUAGCGUAUAUUAAAGUUGUUGCGGUUAAAAAGCUCGUAGUUGGAUCUCGGCGGGUAGAAGGCGGGAAACUGCUAAAGGUUACUGCCUUUUUACCCGUAGGUUUUGCUAGAGGUUUCAAGGUGGUCUUAAUCGAGUGUCCUGGGAUGCUAGCAGGUUUACUUUGAAAAAAGUAGAGUGCUCAAAGCAGGCUACUACGCUUGAAUAUUCGUGCAUGGAAUAAUAGAAUAGGAAGUCGUUUCUAUUUUGUUGGUUUUCGGAAAUCGACUUAAUGAUUAAUAGGGACAGUCGGGGGCAUUUGUAUUCAAACGACAGAGGUGAAAUUCUUGGACCGUUUGAAGACAAACUACUGCGAAAGCAUUUGCCAAGAAUGUUUUCA
This 384-nucleotide ribosomal RNA is filed under the name marine copepod environmental sample. RNAcentral's name for it is "SSU rRNA". It matches the Rfam family "Eukaryotic small subunit ribosomal RNA", at positions 587 to 972 of the family's 1831-position model. The record is from RNAcentral. Lineage: Eukaryota; Metazoa; Arthropoda; Copepoda.